Long non-coding RNA from Monodelphis domestica (gray short-tailed opossum), 1727 nucleotides. The record is from Ensembl. NCBI's taxonomy places the organism in Eukaryota, Metazoa, Chordata, Mammalia, Didelphimorphia, Didelphidae.
UGAGGCCAGAUAUGAACUCAGAAAGAUGAAUCUUUCUGACUGCAGACCUGCCACUCUAUCCAUUGUGCCCCCUCACUGCCUAGCCUGGGACAUAGGAGGUGCUUAAUAAACAUGGAUGGAUGGAUGGAUGGAUGGAUGGAUGGACUGACUGAACUGCAUUGCUUGUUCUGUAACCUUGAGUAAGUCACUUGCCUUCUUCCUCCUCUAUAAAGUGAAGGCAUUGUGCUCACGGAACUCUAAAGUCCCUUUUAAAAUCCUUUGGCAGGUUCCUUUGAUCCCAUGAUGAACGUUCCUUUCGGGUUUUGUUUUUAAUUCGGGCUUGGGCUAUGAGGUGGAGCGUCUUCUGCCCAGUUUGUCCAGCAGAUGGAGAUGGAGACCCAUUGUGACACCUCCUCCCUGAAGCGGGAAGCGGAUCUCCUAGUCUCCCUCCAGCUGCCUGUUCCCAGGGGUCCUGGGGCUGUUUCCUUGACAGGAGCUGGCAGCGAGUUUCAGCAAACCUCAGCCUUCCCCAAGGAGUGGAGGGAGCGUUUCACACCAGCACAGGAGACCAAGCUUAUUGAUGUUCUUUCUAACCUGUGGCAUCCAGACCUGAACACAGUUCUUCAGAUGGACUCGAAUCAGGAGGACCAAGUGCAGAGGAACUAUCACUUCCCUCUUCUUGGAACCUCUGCUUAUCUUAAUGAAAUCAAAGAUCACUUUGGCUUUUUUGACUUCUACAUCAUAUUUCUGAGACUUAUACUGAGCUUGCUGCUCCACCAAAAACUCCCAGAUCUUCUUCAGACAAAGUACUGUUUAACAAAGCUUCCUUGUGUUAUAGAAUUAUUUUUAAGUCAAAUGUAAGAAUUUACACGUUAACACUAUUAAAUUUCUUCUGAUUAGAUGUGGCCCCAUCCAUGUUCAGGGCUCACUGAACUAACUGGUCUGCUGAUCAGCAUUUAUAUUUUCUCUAACCAAGGAAGUAUUGAACAGCUAAAAGAACAUUAGUUUUAGAGUCAGAGAACCUGGGUUCAAAUCUCACCUCUGAUACUACUUUGUGUGACCUUGAGCAAGUCACUUAAAUUUUUUUAGUUUUGGUCUUCUCAUCUGAAAGACAAAGUGGUUGGAUUAGAUGGUCACUGAAAUCCAUCCUGCUCAAAAUCUAUGAACUUUCUUUAUGAACAAAAGUUUUGGUACAUCCCUUAAAAAAUAGACAAAAGAGGUUGGGUGGGAUUAGGUACUCUCUAAAUCCCUGUCAAUUUUACUGUCUGAGUAAAUAAUGAGAAAGGGGAAACAUCAAUAAUCCAAAAGAGUGGAUAGUCAAAGCCCCAUGCUCACCAUUUCCCCUCUACUUCACCAAAGUGGACAGAAAAAGGACUGUAUACAUACUCAGGAAAGUUAAUUCACUUGAGUCCCACUAAUUUGGAAUUAAUGAAUAUUUGGACAUAGAUCAAUCAUAUUUCACUUUAUACACUAUCUUUGAGAAACAUUUGCUAAGCAAAAUUAAUAGUGUGAAUAAGAUUGUUGAAUGUCAAUCCAUUUAAGAAGUCAGAUUAUUUCCAACCACUUAAAAAAUCCAUUUUGGCACCAACCAUUCAUAUUCAGCUAAAAUCCUGAUUAUGAAUGCCUCCCAUAUUUAUUAAAGGAGAUUCAGUAAGAACUCUCUCUUAACAAUACUUCGUUAUCCAUCAGUUUGUGUUACUGCAUGUACUUGCAAGUAAUAAAACUUAAUGUUUUCACUAAAUGAGACA